CAUGAUGAAAAUUCAAAUCUGUGUCUGAUUAUUUUUCUAUCAGCUGUAGCUUCAAAGUAGCUUCUUCUGCUCUUUGUUUGUAUAAAAAUGAUGAACACACAAAUGAAAUGAUCAGAGGACACAGAUGUGAACCUGCAGCAGACCUACACCUGCCUGUUUCUACAUAUUCAUGUUUCCUUAUGUUGCUUUCAUUGUGUUUCCUUUUUACCUGUUUGAAAAUGUUUGAAGUAUAUUAUGAUCUUACAACUAAAUCAAAUAUUUGUAAGUGAUGACCAUCUGUGGCUGAUAUUGUUUUUGUGUAUUUCCUGUGAAUUCAAACUGUCGUCAAUAAAACAGGACAAUUAAAAAUGAAUUCUGUGAAUAUUGUUUAUUGAUUUUGUUUCAAAAAACAAAGAAAAGCUGAAAAUAUUCAUCAAGUUAUACAAGAAGUAAGCAACAGAUAAGAGUGUGUGUUAGUAAAUUCACAGCAACCUGAAUGUGUUUGUGGGAACAUGAAUGUUUUUGAGUGUUUCUGCAUCAUGUGACCCAGAUUUUUGGAUCUGCUGUCAGAUUGAAAUGAAGACGAUGAAACCACACAGCAGCUUCAGCUGAGCUGUCAAUCAGCAGCAGCAGUCUUAUCUGUGGGCCACAGGGGCUGAUGGGAGCUUUGAGGAGCUGUUAGAAACCACGUGGCCCUCGUCUGAUCUCACAGCUCGUCCUUGUUUGGCCUCAGCUGCAUCAGAGCGCCACUUCUCCCCAGGUUCACCAGAGGAAACACCACUGCACAAAAUGCUUUUCCUCCCAGCUGCUGCUCUGUGCUGUCUGUGUUCAGCACUGGUUACCAUGGCAGCAGAACAGCUGAUUCAGGACGAUUUAACAUUGACCAGGAGAGUUGGAGAAAGUGUCUCCUUCAGCUGUGGAGGCACUCAGCAGUGCGAUCGUGACUGGAUAUACUGGUACCAGAAAAAAGAAACAGAAACAUUCAAAGUUAUUUUUGAUAUUAAUCGGAGUAACGGUAACAUAGAUAGAAGUUACUCAUCUCAUCCUCAGAUCACUGACUUCUCUUCUGUAAAUACAAAUAAAGGCUGGGAGUUAGAAAUUAAGCAAGUUAAACUCGAUCAUUCAGCCACCUACUACUGCUCCUGUGUUAAAGUUGAUACCCACAGUGAGAAAUGAUCCCUGCAGCCUGAACAAAAACCAACAGAUGAACAGAUGUCAAACAGUGUUUGUGACAGGAAGAGAGCAGUAAACCACAGCCCAGCUUCACAGAUUUCACCUCCAUCUCAGAGUCACAAACAUACUGAGCUCAGGGAGAUUUUUAUUUACUGCUGUCAGAAAUUCUAUUCUAUUUAUUUCUCUUUUGAACAGAUUUUUCAUCAUGUUUUAAGAUAGAAACAAGAGGAACAGAUGACAUUGUGGGAUUAAAGAGUUUAUUUUUUAUAUCAAAUUUCCAAAUCUAAACAAACGUAUCCUCAGUCCCACCACAGUAUUCAUUCAAAGUUAAAGAAAAACAGAUUGUGUCAAACUGACUCAAAGCCCAGAUAGAAAGAACACAUUGAAACCAUGUUAAAGUAAUAUCAGGCAAUUCCGUUGAAUCAACAUUGAAAUCUGACAUUGAUUUUCCAUCACUUUUGCACCCUCAGUUAAUAAUGAAACAAUGUUGAAAUCUUUUAUUUUCCAUAACAUAUGCACUCGUGGUUAAUGCUGAAAUAGCAAUUACAACAUGAUCAAAAAUAAACAGGACUUAAUAGGUGUUUCAAUCAAUACUAAAAGACUCCAAAUUGAUCAAUCAAUACUUAAACCUGUGAAAAAGACAAUUGUGUAUUAUCUAAAAACAGAAUUACCAUUAUAUGUUAGACAUUAUCUUUCAAUUUACCAUGUCCAUAAUAAUAUCCCUAUAAUAUUAUCAUCAGGCAUUAUUUAAUUAACAAAAUGACAAUAGACAUCUUUGCAUUAAGAAAAAAAAAAUCCUAUAAAAAUCCUAUAAAGAUGGGCAUCCUGCACUACCCUUCCAAUGGGGAGCAUAGCAGAGCCAUUUCUGCAUUCCUUAGGCGAAGGCAAACUCAGAAACUGCAUUUAACCCCACCUGCUGAGUCCGGCCAUCUAGAACAAAACCAAACACAAAAAAAGUUAAACAGAAAAAAAAGGAGAAGCUCAAUUAGAGCUUACAUUGUCAAAAGUCUUUAGCAGGGAGCAGGGCCGUGCAGAGAGGUUUAAAUGGGCAGUUGCUCAAAGUUAAAAAAGGGGCAGAUAGAACAGGCUGAAUAACAACAACUCACAUUCAUGACGAAUCUAAUAUGGAAUUGCAUCAUACUAUAUGACUGUCAUCAGGUGGGGACAAUGCAAAGCAAACGUAGCCUAUGUUUUACCUGAUGGGUACAAUGUUGCUGUUGAGGGUUUACUGCUGUUCCUGCUGCUGAUAGUGCUGGAGGGCAGGGCUGUGUUGUUUUGAGACUGUAGACAUUAAAAAGUCCAUAGGUAGCUGAUUAAACAAGUGCUUUGAGAUAAAAAUAAAAUGUAAAAAGAUUGGUGACAGCGCUUGGAACCAUAAGGCAACAGAUUUAAAAAACUGGGAAAUAAACUGAAACCAGGAUAUUAGUAGUACAAAAGACAGGGGUCAUGGUAGGGUGAGAAUGUAUUAAAAAAUUCUAUACAGACAGUGUGUGUGGGUCCUGUUAGCACCUUUUAAACAUCACAGCAUCAACUUUACAUGGGAGGGAUUAGAUUGUAGAACUGUAAAAUCUUUUUCUUUCUUUCUUUCUUUCAAAUAUUAAAAUACAACAGUAAAAAAAUAAGCCAAUAGGAGGAUGAAUCAAACAUUUUAUUAAUCAGAAAACAAAAACAACACAGGGUAUGUUUUGGAAAGAGCAGGAAGGAAUAAGAUGC
This is a long non-coding RNA of Oreochromis niloticus (Nile tilapia), 2865 nucleotides long. Lineage: Eukaryota; Metazoa; Chordata; Actinopteri; Cichliformes; Cichlidae. The record is from Ensembl.